Molecule: ribosomal RNA, 253 nt
Filed under: uncultured bacterium
Lineage: Bacteria
Description: partial 16S ribosomal RNA
Rfam family: Bacterial small subunit ribosomal RNA
Source: RNAcentral
UACGAAGGGGGCUAGCGUUGUUCGGAAUCACUGGGCGUAAAGGGUGCGUAGGCGGAUUAUUAAGUCAGUGGUGAAAGCCUGCAGCUUAACUGCAGAACUGCCAUUGAUACUGAUGAUCUUGAGUAUGAUUGAGGUGGGCGGAAUGUGUCAUGUAGCGGUGAAAUGCUUAGAUAUGACACAGAACACCGAUUGCGAAGGCAGCUCACUAAGCCAUAACUGACGCUGAUGCACGAAAGCGUGGGGAGCAAACAGG